This 253-nucleotide ribosomal RNA is filed under the name uncultured bacterium. RNAcentral describes it as "partial 16S ribosomal RNA". It matches the Rfam family "Bacterial small subunit ribosomal RNA", at positions 524 to 776 of the family's 1533-position model. The record is from RNAcentral.
UACGAAGGGGGCUAGCGUUGCUCGGAAUCAUUGGGCGUAAAGAGCGUGUAGGCGGUCCGGUAAGUCCGCUGUGAAAGUCGGGGGCUCAACCCUCGAAUGCCGGUGGAUACUGUCGGGCUAGAGUGCGGAAGAGGCGAGUGGAAUUCCUGGUGUAGCGGUGAAAUGCGCAGAUAUCAGGAGGAACACCUAUUGCGAAGGCAGCUCGCUGGGACGUAACUGACGCUGAGACGCGAAAGCGUGGGGAGCGAACAGG